UGUUUAUAUAAUGUAUUGUUUUAUAUUCUGUGACUGUUACUGGCUGCUCUUUAAGCAGUUUACUGGUGUUCAGUAUCUUAAUCAUUUGUAAUCACAUUUCAUGUUUAGUCAUAGAACAAUGACAUUUGUUAUUAAUUAUAGAUCUUCAGAUGUUUGCUAAUUCCAUUGAAUGUCUUGUGUGCUGAAAUGUGCAAAAGUGAAUCUUUCUCUUUGUACUUGUUGUAACAAAUGUAUUGUGAAGUGUAACAUUCUGCCAUCUGAGAUGCUGGUUAGUUUUGUUUGUUUGUUUGUUUGUUUGACUGCCAAGGUUGUGCACUUAAUGUGAGGAGGAAGAUGGAUACCUGUGGGGCGUUUAAGAAUGUCAUCAGUGUGUGAUAAAAAUAAUCUCCUGCACUUGAACAAGAAAAGUUUAUUAGAGCUUUCCAGAGUCAUCCAUUCAGAGAGCUCCUAAACUGCCUACUAAACACUGAAAUGUGAAGCUCUUACAAGAGCAAUAGGAUUUUGAAAUGCCAAAAUCAGUGCCUAUUUUUGUAAUGACAUUUUUAUAAGAAACAUUUCUGUAUCGCUGAACUGUAAUAGGCCAAACUUCUCAAAAGUCUGUAACACAAGCUGUGUAAAAGACAGCGAUCAUUGUGUAUGUGUUUUGAGAAGAGCAUCUUGACUUUUUACAGUUUUUUUUUUCUUUGUCUUUUUUUUUAUCAAAAUUUGGAGAUAUUUAUUUAAAGGCUAAAAAUCUGGAUUUUAAUGUGAUAAAUGGCAUUAAAACACUGGAUUCAACAGCUGGAAUCAGUG
Long non-coding RNA from Labeo rohita (rohu), 792 nucleotides. RefSeq lists it as uncharacterized. The transcript has 3 exons. NCBI's taxonomy places the organism in Eukaryota, Metazoa, Chordata, Actinopteri, Cypriniformes, Cyprinidae. The record is from RefSeq and is a predicted model, not a curated record.